GUCUCGCAGCAGCCCUUGCCGGUGUGGGGGUCCCGGGCUUUCACGGCUGGGUACCUCGGCGCGCACGUCUCCCCCAGCAGCGUCCUCAGCACUUGCCCCACCUGAGGCGGCCGGAGCUCCUCAGCGUCCCCUUUGGGCCCCGGGGCUUUGGUGGCCGCCCCGUGGGCCGCCUGGUCCAGAAGCGCGCGGAUGAGCGAGUGCGCGGGCGCUGCACCGUAGAGCUGGGUCAGGCGCGCGGGCGUCAGGAAGUGGCCCAGGCUGAGGCCGUGGGAGAUGAGCAGGCGCACGAACUCGGGUCGGUCGUUCAGCAGAGCGUCCAUGAGCGACGCCUCCAAGUGGAAGGACUGCGGGGAGGAGUGGGGCACGGGAUGAGCAGGGACAGAGGCCAGGGAGGCGCCGAGGUGGAGGCAGAGGACGAGGGCUGAGCAUACAUGCUCACUGCUCCACACAGCGCCUGGUGCACCCCAGAAGCCUAAGGAGUGAACCCCAUCCAUCCUCUGCUACCUGAAAGGCCAUGUGGCCAGCGCCUGAGUCCCCAGAGACUCACAGCCCCACCCCUGAACCACAGCUUACAGAGCUGCUGCGCUUUCUCCUGGGAGCCUGCUGGGUUAACUUCUGAAAAGCAAACCGGAUUUGCCCACUGGCUGUCACCCUCCGUUUGAAGAUGUGUCCCCAAGGAGACAGAAUCACACAAGAGCCCCCCUUCAUGGGGUCCCCACUGAGGACCAGGCACUGCCACUGGGGCCCACGAUGCUCCUGCUAGUGGGCUACUUACAAACUCAGCUCUUGCAAUGACGUGAAUGAAACUCAUGGAAUCCACACUAAAUAUAACAAGCCAGGCCCAA
Molecule: long non-coding RNA, 845 nt
Filed under: Heterocephalus glaber (naked mole-rat)
Lineage: Eukaryota; Metazoa; Chordata; Mammalia; Rodentia; Bathyergidae
Description: lncRNA (ENSHGLG00000038298.1)
Source: RNAcentral